RNAcentral lists this ribosomal RNA (253 nucleotides) under uncultured bacterium. RNAcentral's name for it is "partial 16S ribosomal RNA". It matches the Rfam family "Bacterial small subunit ribosomal RNA", at positions 524 to 776 of the family's 1533-position model. The record is from RNAcentral.
UACGUAGGGGGCUAGCGUUGUCCGGAAUCAUUGGGCGUAAAGAGCGUGUAGGCGGUCCGGUAAGUCCGUUGUGAAAGUCAGGGGCUCAACCCUUGAAUGCCGGCGGAUACUGCCGGGCUAGAGUCCGGAAGAGGCAAGUGGAAUUCCCGGUGUAGCGGUGAAAUGCGCAGAUAUCGGGAGGAACACCUAUGGCGAAGGCAGCUUGCUGGGACGGUACUGACGCUGAGACGCGAAAGCGUGGGGAGCAAACAGG